AUUGAACGCUGGCGGCAUGCCUUACACAUGCGAGUCGAACGGUAACAGGUCUUCGGAUGCUGACGAGUGGCGAACGGGUGAGUAAUACAUCGGAACGUGCCCGAUCGUGGGGGAUAACGGAGCGAAAGCUUUGCUAAUACCGCAUACGAUCUACGGAUGAAAGCAGGGGACCGCAAGGCCUUGCGCGGACGGAGCGGCCGAUGGCAGAUUAGGUAGUUGGUGGGAUAAAAGCUUACCAAGCCGACGAUCUGUAGCUGGUCUGAGAGGACGACCAGCCACACUGGGACUGAAACACGGCCCAGACUCCUACGGGAGGCAGCAGUGGGGAAUUUUGGACAAUGGGCGAAAGCCUGAUCCAGCCAUGCCGCGUGCAGGAUGAAGGCCUUCGGGUUGUAAACUGCUUUUGUACGGAACGAAAAGACUCUUUCUAAUAAAGAGGGUCCAUGACGGUACCGUAAGAAUAAGCACCGGCUAACUACGUG
RNAcentral lists this ribosomal RNA (482 nucleotides) under uncultured bacterium. RNAcentral describes it as "partial 16S ribosomal RNA". It matches the Rfam family "Bacterial small subunit ribosomal RNA", at positions 30 to 507 of the family's 1533-position model. The record is from RNAcentral.